AAAUGCCUGCAAUCCCAGCACUCGGAUAGUGGAGGCAGAAGAAUCAGAAGUUCAACUAGAUCAAGAGUUCGGAGUUCCAGGCCAGCCUCAGCUACAAGAGACCUUGUCUAAAAUAAAACAAAAAUCAGCCUCUUGUUCACCUAGCCUAAGCUGACCAGGAAGUGACGAUUGCUUAGUGAGUGGGUCAGGUUGACUAGCAGAGCAUACCCACUCUGGCUACCUACGCCUGCCACUGCUUUGGGAGGAAGACCAGCUCUCCUGGGAGAAGUCUUCAUGGCUCCUUAACUCCCACAGCAUAUUCAUUUCCAGCAAUGGCUAGUGUUCAUUGUUGGCCUCAGUCAACUACAACCAAUCCCAAGUCAGCCUUCCAUCAGUGAGCCCCACUUCCUGGCUGUAGCUCUAUGUGGGGCUCUAUGGAGCCCUGAAGAGAGGUCUGGGACCCUAGGCCCCUCUAUGAGGAACAUCAAAGGCCAGGCCAAGGAAAUCAUGCUUCCUUAUCAGUGAUAGCAAGAUACCCUGAACAGACUCCGCUCAGACCCCCUGAUUGGCCCUUAAUGAAGCCAAGUCUUCCUUCCUCAGCAUCAAGGAUGUAGUGUCCUGUUUUAUGCUAAAAUUUGGGGUUAUGCCCAACAGUGGUGGCACACACCUAUAAUCCCAGCAUUCAAGAGACUAGACUGAGUGAGGCAAGAGGAUUUCAGGUUCAAGGCUAUAUAGUAAGACCGAGUCUAAAACCAAAACAAGCUGGGCACAGUGAUGUGCUUUUGUAAGCGCAGCCUUUAAGAGGUGAUUUCUGUAGGCUCCUGAGUCCAAGGUCAUCUUGGUUAUGUAUUGAAUUCUAGAUUCCAGGCCAGCCUGUAGUUCGUGAGAUCCUAUCUAAAAAAAAAAAAAAAAAAGAA
RNAcentral lists this long non-coding RNA (896 nucleotides) under Rattus norvegicus (Norway rat). RNAcentral's name for it is "long non-coding RNA NONRATT007868". Lineage: Eukaryota; Metazoa; Chordata; Mammalia; Rodentia; Muridae. The record is from RNAcentral.